GGGUGAUUAGCUCAGCGAUAGAGCGUCUCUUUUACACGGAGAGGGUCGGCGGUUUGAGUCCGUCAUCACCCA
Molecule: transfer RNA, 72 nt
Filed under: Variovorax sp. OK212
Lineage: Bacteria; Pseudomonadati; Pseudomonadota; Betaproteobacteria; Burkholderiales; Comamonadaceae
Also listed under: 1 other name
Description: tRNA_Val_TAC
Rfam family: tRNA
About the family: Transfer RNA (tRNA) molecules are approximately 80 nucleotides in length.
Source: RNAcentral